UACAGAGGUCUCAAGCGUUGUUCGGAUUCAUUGGGCGUAAAGGGUGCGUAGGCGGCGCGGUAAGUCGGGUGUGAAAUCUCGGAGCUUAACUCCGAAACUGCAUUCGAUACUGCCGUGCUUGAGGACUGGAGAGGAGACUGGAAUUUACGGUGUAGCGGUGAAAUGCGUAGAUAUCGUAAGGAAGACCAGUGGCGAAGGCGGGUCUCUGGACAGUUCCUGACGCUGAGGCGCGAAGGUCAGGGGAGCAAACGGG
Molecule: ribosomal RNA, 253 nt
Filed under: uncultured bacterium
Lineage: Bacteria
Description: partial 16S ribosomal RNA
Rfam family: Bacterial small subunit ribosomal RNA
Source: RNAcentral